AGAACGAACGCUGGCGGCAUGCCUAAUACAUGCAAGUCGAACGAAGGCUUCGGCCUUAGUGGCGCACGGGUGCGUAACGCGUGGGAAUCUGCCCCUUGGUUCGGAAUAACAGUUGGAAACGACUGCUAAUACCGGAUGAUGACGAAAGUCCAAAGAUUUAUCGCCAAGGGAUGAGCCCGCGUAGGAUUAGCUAGUUGGUGAGGUAAAGGCUCACCAAGGCGACGAUCCUUAGCUGGUCUGAGAGGAUGAUCAGCCACACUGGGACUGAGACACGGCCCAGACUCCUACGGGAGGCAGCAGUAGGGAAUAUUGGACAAUGGGCGAAAGCCUGAUCCAGCAAUGCCGCGUGAGUGAUGAAGGCCUUAGGUUGUAAAGCUCUUUUACCCGAGAUGAUAAUGACAGUAUCGGAGAAUAAGCCCCGGACUAACUCCGUGCCAGCAGCCGC
RNAcentral lists this ribosomal RNA (445 nucleotides) under uncultured soil bacterium. RNAcentral's name for it is "bacterial SSU rRNA". It matches the Rfam family "Bacterial small subunit ribosomal RNA", at positions 26 to 518 of the family's 1533-position model. The record is from RNAcentral.